GAGGAAGAGGAGGAAAAGGAGAGAAGGAGGGGUCUCCGCGGCUUUAUCUCCCACUCGGAUCCGCCCGCUGCCGGCUGCCUCCCGCCGCCGCUCCCCUCCGCGCGGCUCCGCACCGCGGGGCGGCCCGGGCGGCGCCCAUGGGCUGCGGCAACUCCACUGCCGGCGGCACGGGAGGGCGAGGUGCCACGGGGACUACUAAAGAUGCAGCAGAAGAAUCUGUAUCAGAUGAUGACAAAAGGAGGAACUAUGGUGGUGUGUAUGUUGGUCUGCCAUCAGAUGCAGCUGCCGUGGUUUCCAGUCAGACAAAAGCUGCAUCAAAAGAUUAAUACAACAAAAUGCUGCUGUCACUUACGUACACCACAGAGCUAAGUCACUGACUGGAGCUUCCAAAAUGUGCUGCAAAACAAAAAGUGAAGAAAAAUAACACUGUCAUAAUAACAGCAGCUGUCUUUGGAAUAGUAGUACCUCUAUUGCAUGCUUUGUUUAACCAUGUUCUAAAUAGGUGAUAUGUUACAACAUUUUAACUCUUUACCUUUUGUUUUCUAAUUAAGAUUAGAAGGAAAUAAACACAUCAAGAUCCAAACAGCUGGAGCAGUUUUCUGCAAAGACCAGUUGCCAGUACUUUAGAGAGAGUUGUCUUUCUGCUGAAGAUCUUUACAUUUACAUAGCCUUCCAGAGAGCAAGACAGAUCAGAGCACCAAAAAACCUAAACUGUUGCAAGUUCCAACUACGGGUAAAUCUUAAAGUACAACGUUGAAUCUGUUUGCUAUGAUGAUUGUGUUAUGGAAACCUCCUGCUGUUCUCCAGAGGAAAGUGAAAUUAAUGAACUCACAGUGGAUGUUUCUGCACAAGAGCUAACUUUGAUGAUCUGCAAGUUAUUUCUCCAUGGCCAUAUUGCAGAUUUCAUCAGCUAUCAGCUACGCUUCGUAUAUUUUCUCCAAAAAUUUUUAAUAGAUUUUAUAUAGGAAAUCAUUAAUACUGUCCACUUAAAAGUUCCUAUGGUAGAUUCUUAUAAAUUAAUUGUUAAUUUACUUCAGAGUAAUAUAUUUGACAGAUUUGCAUCUUUUUGGUAAUAUUGCAAAUUUUACUAUUUUUGCUGUGAAAACUUACUAGGAUGAAAUAGGCAAAAGACCAUUGGCUGUUUAUAAUUACUAUCAUCACUUUUAUACAUUGAAAAAAAUAGUAGCUUUUACUUUUCACCUUUUAAAAAUACAUGGCUCAAGGAAAUUUGUUUAAAUAAGGACAGUGUAUCUCAUCAUAAUAUGUAUGUCUGUUUUCAUUUUCUUCAGCUUUAUCUCUUUUAUAAAGCAUUAUGUGAAAAAAAAAAAAAAAAAAAGAAUGAACCAAGCUAUUAUGUUAUGUCUUCCAUUCUAUGUGAAAUUACAGUGACAUUUCCUUGGGUAAGGGUGAAGUGAUGGUAUUGUCAGAGAUAGCUGGACUAAAAUCCAGCAUUGCGUCCUCUGGAAAUGUACUGAUUUUGAUCACUGUUUGAGUUUUGUGUCUUCAAGUUCUCUCUUACCAUCUCAAGUAUGGCAAAUAGUAACAGAGCUGGCGUUAUUACUACAGCGUAUUAAGACAUGAAGUCAUGGAUGGGGGGGGAGGGGUUAAAAUUAAUUACAUUUAUAAGACCUGGAGGUUUUUCACGCAACAUAAAUCAAAUGAGAUGGUGCAAUGGUGCAUUUCCGUGUGGCUGAACAAGUAUUAAAAUUAUUAAAACUUUUUGCGUAAUUUGUUAGUCACACUUUUUAAAAAAGACACUAACGUUACACUCUUUAAAAAUAAAAAUCCACACUGUAUUCGUGUAUUACAGUAUAUUAACAACCACGUUUAAAAUAAAAAGCAAAACAGAAACUUUGGACAUCAA
Molecule: non-coding RNA, 1864 nt
Organism: Coturnix japonica (Japanese quail)
Lineage: Eukaryota; Metazoa; Chordata; Aves; Galliformes; Phasianidae
Source: RefSeq, a predicted model, not a curated record